CUGCUGGCUAAGGCAUGAAAGU
This 22-nucleotide unclassified non-coding RNA is filed under the name synthetic construct. RNAcentral's name for it is "RNA (5'-R(*CP*UP*GP*CP*UP*GP*GP*CP*UP*AP*AP*GP*GP*CP*AP*UP*GP*AP*AP*AP*GP*U)-3') from synthetic construct (PDB 6U8F, chain A)". The record is from RNAcentral.